RNAcentral lists this ribosomal RNA (547 nucleotides) under Phormidium sp. BC1603. RNAcentral describes it as "bacterial SSU rRNA". It matches the Rfam family "Bacterial small subunit ribosomal RNA", at positions 161 to 739 of the family's 1533-position model. Lineage: Bacteria; Bacillati; Cyanobacteriota; Cyanophyceae; Oscillatoriales; Oscillatoriaceae. The record is from RNAcentral.
GGCUAAGACCCAAUGUGCAAGUUCUGUGAAAGAUUUAUCGCCUCUAGAUGAGCUCGCGUCUGAUUAGCUAGUUGGUGAGGUAAAGGCUCACCAAGGCUCCGAUCAGUAGCUGGUCUGAGAGGAUGACCAGCCACACUGGGACUGAGACACGGCCCAGACUCCUACGGGAGGCAGCAGUGGGGAAUUUUCCGCAAUGGGCGAAAGCCUGACGGAGCAAGACCGCGUGAGGGAGGAAGGCUCUUGGGUUGUAAACCUCUUUUCUCAGGGAAGAACUCCAUGACGGUACCUGAGGAAUCAGCCUCGGCUAACUCCGUGCCAGCAGCCGCGGUAAUACGGAGGAGGCAAGCGUUAUCCGGAAUUAUUGGGCGUAAAGCGUCCGUAGGUGGUCAUGUAAGUCGGUCGUCAAAGCCAGAGGCUCAACCUCUGUCAGGCGGUGGAAACUGCAAGACUAGAGAGAGGUAGGGGUAGAGGGAAUUCCCAGUGUAGCGGUGAAAUGCGUAGAGAUUGGGAAGAACAUCGGUGGCGAAAGCGCUCUACUGGACCUUUU